Molecule: ribosomal RNA, 465 nt
Filed under: uncultured candidate division WS1 bacterium
Lineage: Bacteria; Bacillati
Description: bacterial SSU rRNA
Rfam family: Bacterial small subunit ribosomal RNA
Source: RNAcentral
CCCGCACAAGCGGCGGAGCAUGCGGAUUAAUCGAUGCAACGCGAAGAACCUUACCAAGGCUUGAAAUGACACGGACCGCCUGAGAAUCAGGUUUCCUGGGCAACCAGGCCGUGCCACAGAUGGUGCAUGGUUGUCGUCAGCUCGUGCCGUGAGGUGUUGGGUUAAGUCCCGCAACGAGCGCAACCCUCGCCAGAUGUUGCCAUCGGGUCAUGCCGGGCACUCUUCUGGGACUGCCUGAGUAAUCAGGAGGAAGGAGAGGAUGACGUCAAAUCUGCAUGCCUCUUACGUCCUGGGCUGCACGCGUGCUACAAUGGCGGGUACAAAGGGUAGCCAAACCGCGAGGUGGAGCCAAUCCCACAAAACCCGUCCCAGUUCGGAUCGGAUGUCUGCAACUCGACUCCGUGAAGGCGGAAUCGCUAGUAACCGUGGAUCAGCAACGCCACGGUGAAUACGUUCCCGGGCCUU